This 254-nucleotide ribosomal RNA is filed under the name uncultured bacterium. RNAcentral's name for it is "partial 16S ribosomal RNA". It matches the Rfam family "Bacterial small subunit ribosomal RNA", at positions 524 to 776 of the family's 1533-position model. The record is from RNAcentral.
UACAGAGGGUGCGAGCGUUGUCCGGAAUCACUGGGCGUAAAGGGCGCGUAGGUGGUGGCUUAAGCGUGCGGUGAAAGCUCGGGGCUCAACUCCGAGUCGGCCGUGCGAACUGGGCUCACUGGAGCAUAGUAGAGGCAGGUGGAAUUCCGGGUGUAGCGGUGGAAUGCGUAGAGAUCCGGAAGAACACCGGUGGCGAAGGCGGCCUGCUGGGACAAUGCUGACGCUGAGGCGCGACAGCGUGGGGAGCAAACAGG